RNAcentral lists this small RNA (179 nucleotides) under Chrysemys picta bellii (western painted turtle). RNAcentral's name for it is "TUC338 (ENSCPBG00000027751.1)". Lineage: Eukaryota; Metazoa; Chordata; Testudines; Emydidae. The record is from RNAcentral.
UUAACAAAUCUGAAAACUGAAACCUUCCCUCCUCGAUCUAUAGAAACCAAGGCACGUUCAGUGACGUGGGCUUCCUCAUAACAUUUUGCCCUUCCAAUGUGCCUCAACCCUCAACUGGUGGGACCACCUCUAGCAAGAGAGAAUUUCAGUCUUCUUGCACCAGUCAGACCUUAGUCCCU